RNAcentral lists this ribosomal RNA (261 nucleotides) under uncultured bacterium. Its description in RNAcentral is "partial small subunit ribosomal RNA". It matches the Rfam family "Bacterial small subunit ribosomal RNA", at positions 26 to 290 of the family's 1533-position model. The record is from RNAcentral.
AGGACGAACGCUGGCGGCGUGCUUAACACAUGCAAGUCGAACGGUGAAGCCCUUCGGGGUGGAUCAGUGGCGAACGGGUGAGUAACACGUGGGUAAUCUGCCCUGCAUUCUGGGACAAGCCUUGGAAACGAGGUCUAAUACCGGAUACGACGCAUCUCCGCAUGGGGUGUGCGUGGAAAGCUCUGGCGAUGCAGGAUGAACCCGCGGCCUAUCAGCUUGUUGGUGGGGUGAUGGCCUACCAAGGCGACGACGGGUAGCCGG